This is a non-coding RNA of Ceratotherium simum simum (southern white rhinoceros), 76 nucleotides long. The record is from RefSeq and is a predicted model, not a curated record. Lineage: Eukaryota; Metazoa; Chordata; Mammalia; Perissodactyla; Rhinocerotidae.
GGUUCCAGGUGGACGAGAGACCCCGCAGGGCAGAGCUACACGCACACCUGGGGGCUGCCCUUGUCACUGCCUGGUC